Molecule: RNA transcript, 4315 nt
Organism: Humulus lupulus (European hop)
Lineage: Eukaryota; Viridiplantae; Streptophyta; Magnoliopsida; Rosales; Cannabaceae
Gene name: E3 ubiquitin-protein ligase BRE1-like 1
Exons: 12
Source: RefSeq, a predicted model, not a curated record
AAUUGGGGCUUAAUUAGGAUUAGGGAUUCAUUUUUUCUCUGCUUAAAGAAGAAGAAAAGACUACGGAUGGGUCCUCUGCACUCGUGCUUCUCACCGGCGUCGCCUACUACAAACGGAGGUGAGGGUGAAGGCGACAACGACGCCUACUACAGAGGGAGGUGAAUUCGACACGACGUUGCUGGGGUUCUCCGCACCUGGGGUCCGUUAAAGUCGCCCGUUCCGUUCUUCCCUUCCGUCAAAGUCAAGACCCAACAAGCAUUGAAUCCUCUCUCUCACGAAUCUCAAGCCUGAAAUCAUGGUUGAGUGUUUAACCUCUGAUUUUCAAGGUGACAUGACUGUUGUGCACACUUUGGUUCACUUAUAUUAGAUGUGUUUGCACACAACAUUGAGAUUGUUAAGCGACUUCAACAAAUUGUUCGAGAUCCUCGGACUGGGAAUAUGCUGGAGCUCGCUGAUGUAUUGAAAUCCAAAAAUGAAGAGAAUGAGGCUUACUUGUCUGAAAUUGAGACUAUUGGACAAGCAUAUGAUGAUAUGCAGACUCAAAACCAACAUCUAAUACAGCAAAUAACCGAAAGAGAUGAUUAUAACAUAAAGCUUGUUUUGGAGGGUCUGAGGGCAAGACAACUGCAGGAUAAGUUAUUAAUGGGCAAAAGAACAUUGGAGAGGGAGAUUCAGCAAGCUAAUUCAUCCCUUAAUUUUUAUGACAUGAAAGCUGCAAGAAUUGAAGAUCAGAAGAAAGUACAUCUUGGGAUGUGGUGAGUGCUAAUGAUUUAUGGGAGGGAGAGAACACUGAUUUGAAUGAAGAUGAGUAUGUUCUCGUGAGUUAGGAGGAAAAUUAUAAUGGAACAGAAGCAUGUGUUGUUGUCAUCUUUGAGUGUUGGAGUUGGGCUGUUGAGUUCAAGGCAGUCAGUGAGUAAAUGGGUUAAAGGAACGAAGGGCUCCCCAGAUUUGAUUUCUGCGGACCAGAUUGAGUAUGAGCUGAUGAUUUUGUUUGAUAGUAGAGAAAACGAGGUUUCGAUUGAGAACUUUCCAUAUUAUUUGAGGUAAUUCAAGAUUAAGAUUUUUUGGGUUAAUCUUGUUUUGUUUUUCUAUGUUUCCUUUCCCGGAAAAUGGGAGCUUGUAGCUUGGUAUAUUGUGCUAUCAAUAUGGAUAAUGCCAUCAGAGUUCAUGUUAGAGAUGAUCUCUUUUGCUAGUGUUUUGCUCACUUCUCAUGUAUUUGUUAUAACUAGUCCUUUGUUAAAGGCCUACUCUAUAUUUGUUUUAGCUUCUUUUCAAUUAAUUUUGAGAAAUUUUAUUUUAGUUGUAGGGGCUUCACUCUUGCAGAUUGUAUUUUUUUAAGAGAUCGACUCUUCUUGCCGAAUCUAAAUCUUCUCCUUUCAUUACUAUUUUAGAUUUUUAAUUUUUUUUCAACUACAUCUAGUUUUGCAUUUAGUUGCCAACCUGGGUCAACAUAGUAAGAAGGUUUUGAGUGUUUAAAAAAGUCAAGGUGAUGGUGGGAAUAGUGUUCAGUAUAAGGAUUUAUAUAUUAAGGAUAAAGUCAUGGAUCACCUUUGCAUUUCAGUAAUAAGAUAUUCUAUAAAAUAUGAACUUAGAGAAGAAUUCACAUUAAACCAAAAGUUGUGUAUCAUAACAAUGUAGGAAAAAAUUGUAUUGGUUUAAUUUGAUGAUUCCUUAUCUUGACUGGCUAUAGUAAGGUUAUAAUUUAGUCUUUUGAUGUUAACUGCAUGUAUGUUAAGGUUAAAGAUUCAAGAAUGAUAAUGUCUGGUUUAUGUGCACUUAUAUCUUCUAAGACAUAGAUCGAACUUUCUAAGAUUAAAAUUUGGAUUUACAUACUCUUUCUCAUGUCCAUGGAGUUCAUAUUCUAAAUCUGUUAUGUCAAAUAUCUUGAGCAUGACAGAAUUCCAAAGUAACUUAAAGUACUGCUGCUCUUGCCCUUUUCAUGUUAUUCUUUGCAAUAUGAAUCUGUUUUGCUAAUGCAACAUCAUCAUGCUUCAUACUCAUUGAAUGGUGCCAAUGACAGUGAGAAAACAAAGGCGUUGUUGACAAGUACUGCACAUGUUCAUUUGAAGUACUCAUAAAUCAUCUUCAACUACCUCAGAAAGUGUACAACUUAUAUGUUAUGGUAGAAUUUCUUGUAUUUUUUGGUGUGUUUAAAGUCUACUCCUUAAAAGAAUCAAUGUUCCUAGCCAGAAUAAGAAACACUAUCUUGUUUUAUGUAACUACAAUGCUCUCUUCUCCAUUUAUAUUAGAAAAGCUAUAGAGAAUUAAAUUGGAGGAUUUCUUAGAGUAAAGCUUCUGGAUACACACUGCAUCUGCAUGGAUUGUUUGUUUGUCUAGAAAAUGCAAAAAGGUAAAAGCUUUGUAAUAAGCUUGAUUUUGAUUUUUUUUUUUGGAAAUUUCAGAUGGAUUUCAAGUCUGGGCUCUCUUACGUUUGAUGGUAUUUAUUAGUUCUGACUGAAAGUUGUAUUGAUUAAAACUUGUAUAAGCGUUUGAUAUUUGACAUUUGGUGUUUGGUGUUUUGCUUUGUGAAUUGAAAGCAUGUAUCUGUUUUGGAGUUUGGUAUUUUCGGUGCUUGAUGAUCUGCAUUUUUAAUGGAUAUAAGUGGAUGACCAAUCUGAACUUUGAAAUCAUUUUUUUGGUUAUAAAAAGCUAUGAUUCCUCUCUUUCCCUUAUUAAUUUAAGCAAGAACUUCUGAUCUGUUUCAACUACUUCAUUGAUGAUUGGCCUUUUUUAUUUAUUUGGGCAAAAGAUAACUAGCUUUUUAGUUUGCACUUUUGUUGUGUUAGUUGAUUAUGUCUCAUUAAUUAUGUACUGCAUACUCAAUGUCAAAACAUAUUUGGAAAUAUAUUAGCAAAUUCACAAUGUAUGGUUAUCAAACUAAGCUACUACACAUCGAUAUUGUAUAUGUAUACAUCAUUUUUAUCAUUUGGUUUAACUUGAGUUUUUUUUAAUCAUUUUUCUUAUUAUUGAAUUUUGUCCUUGUAGCUUGAUUUUAUUUUCUCCCUAUGCAAUAUAAUAGUAUUGAAUUUGAUUAAGAAAAAUAAAAGAAAAAAAUAAAAAACAACAUAAUAUUCGAAGUUGUAAAUUUUUGUCUUAUUAAUGAUAUAUACGAAGAUAGAAUUUUAAAAAAAUAAAAUUGUUAUAAGUUUCUCAAUGAGACAUUAUCUUUUGUUGGGUGGAUUAAUUUGGUUUUUGAAUUAAUUUUUCUCAUAUAUAUAGAAAAAAAUUAUAUCAUAUUCUACUCUACUUUUCAAAGAUGACUUAAAAGUAUUGGUGUUGCUGCAAAUAUGUUCUGGACAACCUAUAUGAUUUACUAGUUCACUUUAUUCAAAACUUUUCUAAUAGAAUUUCUUCAGCAUAUCUGCUUGAUGUUUCACGAUAUAGAUUAGCUGUUAAAAUAUUUGUUUGAAUAGAUGGCAGGAAUCUUUAAGCCAUUUUAAGCACAUUUUUUAUCUGGGUAAGCAAGGAAAGCAUAGAGAUGUCAAGGUUUACUUAAUUCCUAGAAACCAUGACAUUGGCUAUGAAAGUAACCUCAUUCAUAGUCUAGAGGAGUUUGGAAAGAGGAACUAUCGAUUUACAGCAGUAGAAGUAGAAUUUACUGCCAUUGAUGCCCAAACUUUAGAUGAGUGUAGAUGACUGGAUUCUUUAGUUAACAAUGGUAAAUCAUCCACAUCAUAUCAUCAAAAGAAUCAAGCUUUCUCGUCUUGGAAUUUGUCAAGAAUGUAUCAAUUGUUGUUUGAUCUUAUCCAAGGGUUUUAUUGACCCAUAUUCCAUUGUAUCGACAUGAUUGGACAUAUUGUGGGCCUAAUCGCAAAUCUCCAAUUAUCAACCAGCGAGUGACGCACACGGCUGAUAGAGAAAUAAUGUUUGAUUAUAUUAUUGCUUUUCUACAAAAUGUGCACCUGAAAUAUUACUUUGAGUUGGUGACCUCGUAGAUGCUUUCGGAUUGAUCUUUGUUUCAAAUAAAUAGGUACUUAUCUUGUCUGGUCACGAUCAUGAUCAAUGCACUAUAACUCAUAAGUCAACAUCCGGGCCUGUAAUGGAGGAACUGUAAGUUGGCAGGAGGGAAACCUGUACCCAUCUUUCAUGUUGUUGUCUGCUACUAAUGUUGUACUUUCAAACACUUCAAGUCCUGAUGAAGAAAUAUCAACUCAGCUGUGCUUUCUUCAAGCAAUUGUUUAUCUAUCAUAUACUAAUUGUAGUUUUUAGAUAACACUUACAUAGUUAUUGUAAGUGUAUAUUUUGAUCUUGUAAUUUUUAGAUUUGGAACAUACUGAGUUCAAUUGAUUUUGUCUGCUUGUUGAUUCUGUCUUAA